Molecule: unclassified non-coding RNA, 816 nt
Filed under: Hevea brasiliensis (rubber tree)
Lineage: Eukaryota; Viridiplantae; Streptophyta; Magnoliopsida; Malpighiales; Euphorbiaceae
Source: RNAcentral
GGGAAGCAUAUAAUCCUUGCCACUGUAAUAAAUACACCACCACAAACUUUAAUACUACAUAAAUAUUUGUCAAUUCCAAGGUGAUUUGCAAAUGAUAUCAAAAAAAAAAUCAAGCACAAGAAAAAAAGGGAGCACUAUUUUCCUACAAGGCCUAAAUAUGUGAUCCUUGUUUAAAUAAUCACACUUCAUUGCAAUAUGCUGAUCUGCUAUCCCAAAAAUACUAACGUAGAUAAGUACAUUUUUUUUUCCAAUCAUGCAGCCAAAUCUCAGAAAGCAUACAGCUCCUGUAAUUUGAAAAGAGAAUAGGGAACAAACAAAAAGAUGUGGUAUCUUUUAUUUAACCAAAUGCAUGCAUGCUAAUAUUUGCAGGUAAUAAUAGAUUUGAAGAACCUCUAGGACUCAUCAAAAUAAGGGAAAUAGUUACUUUGCCUCAUUACUUCACUCUAAAUUACUCAUGUUGGAUAAAAAUAAUCAAAGGUAAGUUUGGUAUAUUGGAGGGAAAAUCUAAAAAAAUUCAGGAAUAGAUGAUUCUGACCUCUGGGCAUGAUACCAUAGACGGUGCUCAAAACUAAGCCUGAGAAAUAUAGCUUUCGAAGUAUUUUUAAGUUGUUCGGUAUAAAUUUCAAUGAAACCUAGUAAAGCAAGCCGGAUUCUAUUUACAUGGCUUAAUCCUACAUUUGUCCUGGUAAAUUUUAUCAAAAUGUUGGUCCCAGGACUCUACAGCUAACAAGUCAUUUGACGCUUAAACUUUUGCUAUCCAUUACAUUUCCUUUUGCAACAGAAAUCAUAUUUUUUGGAACAUGCAUGUAUGAAAUU